Small nuclear RNA from Hyaena hyaena (striped hyena), 103 nucleotides. Lineage: Eukaryota; Metazoa; Chordata; Mammalia; Carnivora; Hyaenidae. The record is from RefSeq and is a predicted model, not a curated record.
AUUUUGGUAGAACAUAUAUACUAAAAUCAGAACAAUGCAGAAAAGAUUAGCAGGGUUCUUGCAUGAGGAUGACAUAUAAAUCAGUGAAGCACUAGAUGUUGAU